CCUACGGGUGGCAGCAGUGGGGAAUAUUGCGCAAUGGGGGCAACCCUGACGCAGCAACGCCGCGUGAUUGAAGAAGGCCUUCGGGUUGUAAAGCUCUGUUAGCAGGGAAGAGGAAGGACGGUACCUGCAGAGGAAGCCACGGCUAACUACGUGCCAGCAGCCGCGGUAAUACGUAGGUGGCAAGCGUUGUUCGGAAUAACUGGGCGUAAAGGAUGCGUAGGCGGUUAAACAAGUUAUAUGUUAAAUAUAUAGGCUUAACCUGUAGAAAGCAUAUAAAACUGUUUAACUAGAGUGCAGGAGAGGUAAGUGGAAUUCCUAGUGUAGCGGUGAAAUGCGUAGAGAUUAGGAAGAACACCAGUGGCGAAGGCGACUUACUGGACUGUAACUGACGCUGAAGCACGAAAGCGUGGGUAUCGAACAGGAUUAGAUACCCCAGUAGUC
This 441-nucleotide ribosomal RNA is filed under the name uncultured bacterium. Its description in RNAcentral is "partial 16S ribosomal RNA". It matches the Rfam family "Bacterial small subunit ribosomal RNA", at positions 338 to 795 of the family's 1533-position model. The record is from RNAcentral.